GUGAGGAAUAUUGGACAAUGGGCGCAAGCCUGAUCCAGCCAUGCCGCGUGCAGGAAGACGCAUCUAUGGUGUGUAAACUGCUUUUGUACGGGAAGAAACACUCCCUCGUGAGGGAGCUUGACGGUACCGUAAGAAUAAGGAUCGGCUAACUCCGUGCCAGCAGCCGCGGUAAUACGGAGGAUCCAAGCGUUAUCCGGAAUCAUUGGGUUUAAAGGGUCCGUAGGCGGUUUAAUAAGUCAGUGGUGAAAGCCCAUCGCUCAACGAUGGAACGGCCAUUGAUACUGUUAGACUUGAAUUACAAGGAAGUAACUAGAAUAUGUAUUGUAGCGGUGAAAUGCUUAGAUAUUACAUGGAAUACCAAUUGCGAAGGCAGGUUACUACUUGUGGAUUGACGCUGAUGGACGAAAGCGUGGGGAGCGAACAGGAUUAGAUACCCCGGUAGUCC
This 445-nucleotide ribosomal RNA is filed under the name uncultured bacterium. Its description in RNAcentral is "partial 16S ribosomal RNA". It matches the Rfam family "Bacterial small subunit ribosomal RNA", at positions 354 to 796 of the family's 1533-position model. The record is from RNAcentral.